GAAAUGCGAUAAGUAGUGUGAAUUGCAGAAUUCAGUGAAUCAUCGAAUCUUUGAACGCACAUUGCGCCCCUUGGUAUUCCAUUGGGCAUGCCUGUUCGAGCGUCAUCUACACCCUCAAGCUCUGCUUGGUGUUGGGCGUCUUUGUCCCGCCUCCGCGCGCGGACUCGCCCCAAAUUCAUUGGCAGCGGUCCUUGCCUCCUCUCGCGCAGCACAUUGCGCUUCUCGAGGUGUUGCGGCCCGCGUCCAGAAAGCAAUCGUUACCGUCUUUGACCUCGGAUCAGGUAGGGAUACCCGCUGAACUUAAGC
RNAcentral lists this unclassified non-coding RNA (306 nucleotides) under plant metagenome. Its description in RNAcentral is "partial contains 5.8S ribosomal RNA, internal transcribed spacer 2, and large subunit ribosomal RNA". The stretch from base 1 to 105 matches the Rfam family "5.8S ribosomal RNA", at positions 50 to 154 of the family's 154-position model. The record is from RNAcentral.